AUUCAGCUGACGAGUCACACAUAGGACGAAUUUUCGCGCGUCCUGAAU
This 48-nucleotide non-coding RNA is filed under the name Schistosoma margrebowiei. Lineage: Eukaryota; Metazoa; Platyhelminthes; Trematoda; Strigeidida; Schistosomatidae. The record is from RNAcentral.